GCACCCUUACCCACUGAGCCAUCUUGCUGGCCCACGUUCCUAUUGUCCCUAAACAAGUGUCUGCUACUUCUGUUUAUGAAGCACUUAAUGGACCUAAUUGCUCCAUUAAUCUGGAGCCGAGCAGAUUCAGGAGGGUGUCUGUCAUUUGAUGCACAAGACUUGAGCGUGUACGGAUAGAGAUUCAUGGGGGGGCGGGGCAGAGGGGGCUGGAGUGGCCUACCCUGUUCCCCCACCUCCACCAUAUCAAUGAAUGACCAUAUCGGGACUCUCGAUGGUGAGGCUCAUAUGAGGUGCUCCUCUUAGGACUGCUCCCCUCUCUAGGAGAUGAGACAGAGAAGCCCCAAGCUGUUUUGGGCUGAUACCUGUAUUAAAGAAUAAGUCCGGUUCUGCUGCUUUGGUGUCUGGUGGGCAGUGAGGUUGUAGAGGGCUUUAAGGUCAUUGCCCUUCUCUUUUCCAGGUUGAUUGGCCACACCCCAUCCUACUGUGAUGAGUCACUGUUUGGCUCCCGGCCACAGGGCACCAGCAAGGAGAGGUCUCGGACAGCCGUGGAGGAUGCGGCCAAGCUCCGGACCCUUUUCUGGACCCCACCAGCCACCCCUAGGGGCAGCCACUCACCUCGCCCCAGGGAGACCCCACUUCGGGCCAUUCACCCAACUGGACCUCCCAGGACAGAGCCCAGAGUGGCCACAGGCUCCCAGAUGGUGUCCCGGGAUGGGCUGGAUGCUCCCCGCUCUCUGGGACAGAGGCG
This 748-nucleotide long non-coding RNA is filed under the name Rattus norvegicus (Norway rat). Its description in RNAcentral is "long non-coding RNA NONRATT007566". Lineage: Eukaryota; Metazoa; Chordata; Mammalia; Rodentia; Muridae. The record is from RNAcentral.